UUUGGUCGAGCAGUUAAUGAUGAUGAUGAUGAUGGGAGUUGAUUUUUUACACUGUGGAUGCAGAGGUGGAAGGCAGUUAGACGGCGAUGAUGCCAUUGAUAUUUUAGUUCCAAUGUUUCCCAAAAGAUUAUUGGGUUUCUUGUCCAAUGAAGAACUGCGAGCUAAUAAGUUCUUGCGUUUCCUAUUGUAGGGAUCUUCAGGCUUGGCAAAAUCUUUAACAGAGGAAACAGCAGCCGCAUCGGCUAAACUUGUAAAGGACUUUGAUUUGCCACCAUAAAACUUGGAUAUGCCUUUUCUGUAAUCAAACAAAACCCGCAAAGAAAAACAGAUUGAAGAACCCAUAAGAAUAACUAUGCAAGAUCUUAUUAAAAGACACCAUUUUCUUGUUCUUCAAGCAAUGGUUAGUAGGAGUAACUAGUAUCAAACCCACAUUUCACUAUUUUUUUUUAAAUUAUAAUAAUAGGGUAAAGCCCAAACAACAAACGCCAAUAACCAUCGAGCCGUCACAUGGAGUUCACAUUUCACUACUUUAAUACGCUUUAAAUAAUACAUGUCCUUAUAUUAAAAGUUAAAGCCACUUCAUCUUUUUGGAAGAAAUUGCCAAACAAAACCCUCGCUAUUUUUUUAGAUUUACACGUAAAGAGAAAACAAGCCAAAUAUUUUAAUUUUUAUAUUUUGAAUGUUAAAAAUGGUUUACCUCAGAGCAUCCAUUGUAUCCAAAGGUCCUUUGUACUUCAGGUGCUAUCUAAAGAUAUUGGACAAUUAAGAUGAUUGUCAACUGUUUCCAUAAAUUCAAAUAAUUAGGAGAAAUCAACAUUGAAAUAAGUAGUUAUAAUUAUUGACAACUGUUUCCAUAAAUUCAAUUCAGUAAUAGUUAUAUUAAAUGGACAAUUAAGAUUGAAAUAAAUAGUUAUAUUUAUUGUCAACUGUUUCCGUAACUUCAAUUCAUUAGGAGAAAACAAUUAAUAAAUUAUAUUAUAUUAAAAUUAGAUUUACUUUAGAGAAGUAUAAAUGUAAAAAUACAAUAUAAAAAAAUGUUUUAGAAUUAAAAUACUAUAUUAAGUUCAAAAUGAUAUUUAUUUGUAAAAUUAAUGAUAACUUUUACAAUAUAUGAAAUUUACCAGGAUGCAAAAGAUGUUUUUUUUCCAACCCAAAAGAGUAUUCUUCUUGUUUUCUGAGAAAAAUUUCCCCCUAAUUCACAUUAUAGGGAAUCAGUCUCAUCAUCAUCACGUGAAAGUAUGCAUGGACAUACCUUCAAGGUUUAAAUGGCUCAAAAGAUCCAUGCUUUUCGCUCUAUAUAAAGGGUGACCUCAGCUUGCAACAUCAUUUUCACCCCUCAAAAACCAGUGCCAUAAACAUGUUUCUCCCAAUCUUUUUCAUUUUCUCUUUCCUAUUUUCCUCCACCAACGCAGCCGACUUCUGUGUUGGGGGCUUGAAUGGCCCUGUAGGCCCUGCAGGCUAUUCUUGCAAGAAGACAGCCACCGAAGAUGACUUCUCUUUCUCCGGCCUCCGUACCGCAGGCAACACUUCGAACCUCGUAAAAGCUGCAAUAACACCAGCCUUUUCGACUCAAUUCCCGGGUGUUAACGGACUCGGCAUUUCAAUAGCUCGUUUGGAUUUAGCUGUUGGUGGAGUGAUACCUAUGCAUACACAACCUAGGGCUUCUGAACUCAUUCUUGUUAUGGAUGGCACACUUUUUGCUGGUUUCAUAUCCUCAGAUAACAAAGUUUACUCCAAAUCUCUGAAUGAAGGAGACAUUAUGAUUUUCCCACAAGGUUUAUUACAUUUCCAAAUCAAUACAGGCAAAACUCAAUCCGUGGCAUUUGUAUCCUUCAACAGUGCAGACCCUGGUGUCCAAAUCCUGGACUUUGCCUUGUUUACAAAUGACUUGCCGACUGACAUUAUUGAAGGAACCACUUUUCUGGAUGCUGCUCAGAUUAAGAAGCUGAAGGGUGUUCUUGGAGGAACUGGUUAAUAUUAUUUGAACUUGUUGAGAGUCCCUUUUUUUUUCGUAUGCUUUCACGUUUGCUUGUGUCUUCUUGUCAGUGGUAGUUUGUUGGAAAUUACUAGCAAAAGAGUGAGUCUCUGUUGUGUUUCUUUGUGUUCCUUCUUCAGGUUCUACUGUGAACCAAAAAUGUAAUAAAAAAGACCAUCGCUUUCUCGAUCUGAAAAUGUUUAAAUAAAGGCAAUUAUGUUGUUUAUCUUUCUCCCUUAAAAUGGGAAAUAGCCAACUUCAUUAAUCUCCAAAGAUGAUGGUGAGUAGCUGGAAUUGUUUGGUGGGGAAUACCGCACUGGCAGAAUUUUUGGGAUGACCAUAUACCCCUUCCCCAUCCAUUAAGAAAGGAUAUUUUAUUCGAACCCGGAUAUAAAAUAUUUAAGUAUAUUUAGAUAAAAUUACGCAAUCUUUUACAAAAUAAUAUAUAUAUUGGUUAAAAGUUGGUCACCAUUAAAAUCGACUACUUUCAUGAACCUUAUCAAAUAGUACUAUAAUCCAUAGUCCAAGUUCUUUUGAAAAUUUAUACUGUACUGUACUAGCACUAUGAUCAGCAAUCACUGAACCAAAGAAUGAUGUUGGAGCCAAUAUCUGGACAAAUAUUUGUACUAAAUGUAGACAUAAUGUUGGUAUAAACUAAAAAUUUUGAUAUGUUUGAGUGAAUACUAAACAAGUGAAAAGAGGAUUUAAGCUUUAGGUUAAUUGAUUAGAAAAUUUAAAAUAUAUCAAUCAAAAUUGUUCCAAAUACUAACAUCAUAGCCUUAUCAUUAUGGUAAGUAUUAAAUGUAAAUUCAAUUUAACAUACUUUUAUAAAAAUAUAUUCAAUAACAAAUACAUAUGUAUUUAUUAUAUAAACAACUUUGCACCUAGCUUUCUUAAUUUAAUUUAUAUAUUUUAAAAAUUAUAUACAAUUGACAUUUAACGAAUAACUUAGCGACUAAAUUAAUAAAAUAUUAAUAUUUUGAGAACUUAAAUUAAAAUAUUUUAAAGCUUAGGAACUAAUUUCAAAUUUGAGCAAUAAUUUAGGGUUUGAACUCCAUUAAAAAGACAAGCCCAAUUUUUGCUGCAAGGUAAAAGAAAGUAUUUUAGUUAAUAGUAUUUUACAAUAAAGCAUUCUCACCAUUGUCUCAAAGCAAACAAAGAGACGAGAAGAGUAGUACAUCAGUAAUUACUUCUAAAUGGCAUGUCCAUGGUAUACCUACCACUUCAAACCACAAGCAUUAGAUCAAAGCAGAACACAAGUGAUCAUCUCAAUGACUAAAACUACAAGCCUUUUGGCCAGUUCUGUAAUUGUAAAAGCGAAACUGUGGUUAAUUUCAACGCAGUUUGUUGCCUUUAUUACCACUGUGAACAGCCAAACCAGCCAUGUUAGGAGUUGUAGCAGCAACAAACUGUAGAUCAGACAAGGAAUAAGACCGGCAAGGAGGGUUUGGUCGAGCAGUAAAUGAUGAUGAUGAUGGUUUGAUGAUGGUAGUUGAUUUUUUACACUGUGGAUGCAGAGGUGGAAGGCAGUUAGACGGCGAUGAUGCCAUUGAUAUUUUAGUUCCAAUGUUUCCCAAAAGAUUAUUGGGUUUCUUGUCCAAUGAAGAACUGCGAGCUAAUAAGUUCUUGCGUUUCCUAUUGUAGGGAUCUUCAGGCUUGGCAAAA
RNAcentral lists this long non-coding RNA (3640 nucleotides) under Gossypium barbadense (sea-island cotton). RNAcentral describes it as "long non-coding RNA (GBAR_LNC023587)". Lineage: Eukaryota; Viridiplantae; Streptophyta; Magnoliopsida; Malvales; Malvaceae. The record is from RNAcentral.